UUUUCUUCUUGACAAAAUUACAAAGCAGCACACCACAAAAUUCUUGCAUCUGUUAUUAUAGCAAAAGGCUGGUCUAAAAAGCACCGAUGAUGGAGGGCUGGACAUAGAUACACACCAGAAUUUCAGGUAUUGUGAUUUGAAUAACCUAAAGCCAGAAAAAACCUGUUAAACAGGUUAGAAAAAGGGGUGUUGGAGCAAAGGAGGGUGGGCCACAACUUCUAUUUAAACCCUCCCAAACACACCGAAAUCUCACUGUGGACUCUCUGAAUCAAGGUGCAAGCCUGAAGAAACAACUCCUCCCCUUUGUCAGAUAUACAUCCUAAGGAAAAAUGAACAGGCAGCCGACUGCUCUGCAGGUGUCAAUGGGCGCUUUGUUUGGCGUCUAUAUGUCAAAGCAAGGGGCUGAUGGAAAGCUCACAAAGCAGGCCUUUCUGGAACUGCUUAAUGAGCAGAUGCCCGCUUUUAAGAAGGGGGGUGCUGACAUUGGAGAGGAGGUAUUCGAAGGUGUAGACAUGAAUGAUGAUGGAAAAGUCGACUUCAAAGAGUUUGCUAUGAUGACUGCCGGCUUUGCUGCUGCUAACUUUGAGGUCCUUCAGGAAGUAAUGAAGGAACAGGGAAACUAACUUAGCAAAGACUGAGCAGCUAUUGCUAAGUUGAAAUACUUAAUUCGACAUAAAAAAUAAAGUUCUUCUGCAAAAUG
Cyprinodon tularosa is the source of this 700-nucleotide long non-coding RNA. RefSeq lists it as uncharacterized. Lineage: Eukaryota; Metazoa; Chordata; Actinopteri; Cyprinodontiformes; Cyprinodontidae. The record is from RefSeq and is a predicted model, not a curated record. The transcript has 6 exons.